GAUGAAGAACGUAGCGAAAUGCGAUAAGUAGUGUGAAUUGCAGAAUUCAGUGAAUCAUCGAAUCUUUGAACGCACAUUGCGCCCUUUGGUAUUCCUUAGGGCAUGCCUGUUCGAGCGUCAUUUAAACCUUCAAGCUAAGCUUGGUGUUGGGUGACUGUCCGCUUCACGGCGGACUCGCCUCAAAAUUAUUGGCGGCCGGUACAUUGGCUUCGAGCGCAGCAGAAACGCGAACUCGGGCCCGUCGUAUUGGCUCCCAGAAGCUAUCUUCACAAUUUUGACCUCGGAUCAGGUAGGGAUACCCGCUGAACUUAAGCAUACAAUAAGCGGAGGA
RNAcentral lists this unclassified non-coding RNA (331 nucleotides) under soil metagenome. RNAcentral describes it as "partial contains 5.8S ribosomal RNA, internal transcribed spacer 2, and large subunit ribosomal RNA". The stretch from base 1 to 120 matches the Rfam family "5.8S ribosomal RNA", at positions 35 to 154 of the family's 154-position model. The record is from RNAcentral.